GGUACUUCAGAUUCCGAAGACGUAUCCCGUCAUUAUCCGAGGAACACGUUCACGAUGAAAAUGCACCUUAUGAAAUGGUUGACUUAAGACGUGGAUUUAUUUCAAAUGCAGAAGAGCCUUUAUCAUACACUUUCGCACCUCUAUAAAGGCAGAUU
This is a long non-coding RNA of Haliotis rufescens (red abalone), 155 nucleotides long. RefSeq lists it as uncharacterized. The record is from RefSeq and is a predicted model, not a curated record. NCBI's taxonomy places the organism in Eukaryota, Metazoa, Mollusca, Gastropoda, Lepetellida, Haliotidae. The transcript has 2 exons.